UUAAACGUACGGUAAGAAGUAAAAUUUUCAACAAUUCCCCACAAUCUGCAUCCAUAGAAACGCAUUAGUUCAAAGAACAACUUCACGGUGCCGAAAAAUUUGUCCGAGAAACUUACCUCAAUCUCAGAUGUUCUGCUUGUGGUCGAUGAAGAUGCAGCUUCGUGCCCGUUGCGUUGGGGAUGAAGACAGAGACGUUACGUUCGUGAAGGUAUCGAUGUCGCGUCGCAUCUGAAAUCAAGGUGGAGACGUUCGUGAUGAAGACUCCUGAUUCGUGCGUUUGCUGAGACCGAAGAGGAAAAAGCGCUUCUCCGAAGAAGCCUGUUGCGAUCCACGGCACGGCCCCUUGACUCCGGCGUCCCUUCGCGUGAGGAAGAUUGGAAGAUGGAAGUGCAGAGUACGAUUCUUCCUCUUGCUGUAAGGUUGAAAUUGGCUUGCUUGAUGUAUAGCCAUCGUUUGCUGCAGGUUCAAGCAUUGUCCGGGUUGAAUGCGAAUGCCACACCACCUCAUACGGAUGACCACGUCCUUGCUUCUUCUUGAACUUAAUCCAAAGUAACAAGUAGAAGUGUAAAGUGCCCUCUAUUAGAACCAUGUGUAGUGUAAUGCUUGUAAAUAAACCCCUAUUUAGGUUGCUCUUGUGUAAUAGAAAAACCAAAAUGUGAGUGAUUUUUAAAGUGGUGAAUCCAAUUUUAGAUCAAUUCCAAAUGUUUUAAUAUGCAUGAACCAAAUACAUAAGAUGUGUAUGAAAGGGAUGUCAUGGGUUCAUCUUAAAAGGAACACCUUUGACUUGUUGACUUUGGUCAAAGUUGACCAAGAGUCAAUUGUUGAUCAAAGUCAACUUUUGGUCAAAAUUGUGUUUUGAUGUGUAAUUUUUGUAGGAAUGAUGUAAAUGAUAUUUGUACGGUUGAGUUGACAAAUUUCGGAUGAAAACACUCCUUUAUGAUUCAA
This is a long non-coding RNA of Lathyrus oleraceus (garden pea), 945 nucleotides long. RefSeq lists it as uncharacterized. The record is from RefSeq and is a predicted model, not a curated record. NCBI's taxonomy places the organism in Eukaryota, Viridiplantae, Streptophyta, Magnoliopsida, Fabales, Fabaceae. The transcript is spliced from 2 exons.